UCGAGAGAUGGUUCGUUUUAUAGUGGCAAGGAAGGAGUUAUCCGGAAGUGCAUGCUUGGAAAUUAUUGGCGUAGGAGCAGCAUGCUCGAAUUGACUUCCACCCGGUGAGUGGGAAGGAAUGUCCAAGAUCUGUGGCACCCGCGCACAUUGCUGCAGCAGUCUCUGUAGCGACUGGAGGGAGUUUCAUUUUACAUAGGCUGUGAUCCAAAGAUUUGUGCAACGUAUAUGAGCGAAGCUCUUCCUCCAGCAAUCUAGUCCCUCAUUGUUCGGCAGUGGAACCUCUAUUCCAGGCCUCUGUCGGAUUGGUGCCGUUAAUUCGGUGACAUGACGUUCAUUCUCAAGCUGUUACACCGGUCACCUCCAUUAAGUAACAAAUUGCUCUCUGUUGCACAAAGAAUUCUACUCAGUAGCACUGUCGUUUUAUUUAAGAGCUUCAA
Molecule: long non-coding RNA, 437 nt
Organism: Selaginella moellendorffii
Lineage: Eukaryota; Viridiplantae; Streptophyta; Lycopodiopsida; Selaginellales; Selaginellaceae
Exons: 3
Source: RefSeq, a predicted model, not a curated record